UGGCUCAGAGGGUAAAGCGUCUGCCUGCAAUGCAGGAAACCUGGGUUUGAUUCCUGG
This is a non-coding RNA of Bos taurus (domestic cattle), 57 nucleotides long. NCBI's taxonomy places the organism in Eukaryota, Metazoa, Chordata, Mammalia, Artiodactyla, Bovidae. The record is from Rfam.